CACAUGCAAGUCGAGCGGUAACAGAGAGGUGCUUGCACCUUUGCUGACGAGCGGCGGACGGGUGAGUAAUGCUUGGGAACAUGCCUUGAGGUGGGGGACAACAGUUGGAAACGACUGCUAAUACCGCAUAAUGUCUACGGACCAAAGGGGGCUUCGGCUCUCGCCUUUAGAUUGGCCCAAGUGGGAUUAGCUAGUUGGUGAGGUAAUGGCUCACCAAGGCAACGAUCCCUAGCUGGUUUGAGAGGAUGAUCAGCCACACUGGGACUGAGACACGGCCCAGACUCCUACGGGAGGCAGCAGUGGGGAAUAUUGCACAAUGGGCGCAAGCCUGAUGCAGCCAUGCCGCGUGUGUGAAGAAGGCCUUCGGGUUGUAAAGCACUUUCAGUCAGGAGGAAAGGUUAGUAGUUAAUACCUGCUAGCUGUGACGUUACUGACAGAAGAAGCACCGGCUAACUCCGUGCCAGCAGCCGCGGUAAUACGGAGGGUGCGAGCGUUAAUCGGAAUUACUGGGCGUAAAGCGUACGCAGGCGGUUUGUUAAGCGAGAUGUGAAAGCCCCGGGCUCAACCUGGGAACUGCAUUUCGAACUGGCAAACUAGAGUGUGAUAGAGGGUGGUAGAAUUUCAGGUGUAGCGGUGAAAUGCGUAGAGAUCUGAAGGAAUACCGAUGGCGAAGGCAGCCACCUGGGUCAACACUGACGCUCAUGUACGAAAGCGUGGGGAGCAAACAGGAUUAG
This 734-nucleotide ribosomal RNA is filed under the name Pseudoalteromonas sp. UCH-84. RNAcentral's name for it is "bacterial SSU rRNA". It matches the Rfam family "Bacterial small subunit ribosomal RNA", at positions 52 to 781 of the family's 1533-position model. Lineage: Bacteria; Pseudomonadati; Pseudomonadota; Gammaproteobacteria; Alteromonadales; Pseudoalteromonadaceae. The record is from RNAcentral.